RNAcentral lists this ribosomal RNA (253 nucleotides) under uncultured Oscillospira sp. RNAcentral describes it as "partial 16S ribosomal RNA". It matches the Rfam family "Bacterial small subunit ribosomal RNA", at positions 524 to 776 of the family's 1533-position model. The record is from RNAcentral. Lineage: Bacteria; Bacillati; Bacillota; Clostridia; Eubacteriales; Oscillospiraceae.
UACGUAGGUGGCAAGCGUUGUCCGGAUUUACUGGGUGUAAAGGGCGUGCAGCCGGAGAGGCAAGUCAGAUGUGAAAUCCGCGGGCUCAACUCGCGAACUGCAUUUGAAACUGCUUCCCUUGAGUAUCGGAGAGGUAAUCGGAAUUCCUAGUGUAGCGGUGAAAUGCGUAGAUAUUAGGAGGAACACCAGUGGCGAAGGCGGCUUACUGGACAGUAACUGACGUUGAGGCUCGAAAGCGUGGGGAGCAAACAGG